AGGGCGCACGGUGGAUGCCUUGGCACUAGGAGCCGAUGAAGGACGGGACUAACACCGAUAUGCUUUGGGGAGCUGUAAGUAAGCUAUGAUCCAGAGAUUUCCGAAUGGGGGAACCCAAUAUCUUUUAUAGGAUAUUACUUUUCAGUGAAUACAUAGCUGAUUAGAGGUAGACGCAGAGAACUGAAACAUCUUAGUACCUGCAGGAAGAGAAAGAAAAUUCGAUUCCCUGAGUAGCGGCGAGCGAAACGGGAAGAGCCCAAACCAACAAGCUUGCUUGUUGGGGUUGUAGGACUCCGAUAUGGUAGUCUGUUAGUAUAGUUGAAGGAUUUGGAAAAUUCCGCUAAAGAGGGUGAAAGCCCCGUAGACGAAAUGCUGACAACACCUAGGAGGAUCCUGAGUACGGCGGAACACGAGAAAUUCCGUCGGAAUCCGCGGGGACCAUCCCGCAAGGCUAAAUACUCCCUAGUGACCGAUAGUGAACCAGUACCGUGAGGGAAAGGUGAAAAGCACCCCGGAAGGGGAGUGAAAUAGAUCCUGAAACCGUGUGCCUACAACAAGUCAAAGCUCGUUAAUGAGUGAUGGCGUGCCUUUUGUAGAAUGAACCGGCGAGUUACGAUUGCAUGCGAGGUUAAGUCGAAGAGACGGAGCCGCAGCGAAAGCGAGUCUGAAUAGGGCGAAUGAGUAUGUAGUCGUAGACCCGAAACCAUGUGAUCUACCCAUGUCCAGGUUGAAGGUGCGGUAAAACGCACUGGAGGACCGAACCCACGUACGUUGAAAAGUGCGGGGAUGAGGUGUGGGUAGCGGAGAAAUUCCAAACGAACUUGGAGAUAGCUGGUUCUCUCCGAAAUAGCUUUAGGGCUAGCCUCGGAAUUGAGAAUGAUGGAGGUAGAGCACUGUUUGGACUAGGGGCCCAUCUCGGGUUACCGAAUUCAGAUAAACUCCGAAUGCCAUUCAUUUAUAUCCGGGAGUCAGACUGCGAGUGAUAAGAUCCGUAGUCGAAAGGGAAACAGCCCAGACCACCAGCUAAGGUCCCAAAAUAUAUGUUAAGUGGAAAAGGAUGUGGGGUUGCACAGACAACUAGGAUGUUGGCUUAGAAGCAGCCACCAUUUAAAGAGUGCGUAAUAGCUCACUAGUCGAGUGACCCUGCGCCGAAAAUGUACCGGGGCUAAACAUAUUACCGAAGCUGUGGACUACACCAUUAGGUGUAGUGGUAGGAGAGCGUUCUAAGGGCGUUGAAGGUCGAUCGUGAGGACGGCUGGAGCGCUUAGAAGUGAGAAUGCCGGUAUGAGUAGCGAAAGACAGGUGAGAAUCCUGUCCACCGUAUGACUAAGGUUUCCUGGGGAAGGCUCGUCCGCCCAGGGUUAGUCGGGACCUAAGCCGAGGCCGAUAGGCGUAGGCGAUGGACAACAGGUUGAUAUUCCUGUACCAGUUGUUUUUGUUUGAGCAAUGGAGGGACGCAGUAGGCUAAGGAAUGCAUGCGAUUGGAAGUGCAUGUCCAAGCAAUGAGUCUUGAGUAGAGUUAAAUGCUUUACUCUCUAAGGACAAGUUGUGACGGGGAGCGAAAUAAUAGUAGCGAAGUUCCUGAUGUCACACUGCCAAGAAAAGCUUCUAGUGAGAAAACAACUGCCCGUACCGUAAACCGACACAGGUAGUCGAGGAGAGUAUCCUAAGGUGAGCGAGCGAACUCUCGUUAAGGAACUCGGCAAAAUGACCCCGUAACUUCGGGAGAAGGGGUGCUGACUUCGGUCAGCCGCAGUGAAUAGGCCCAAGCGACUGUUUAUCAAAAACACAGGUCUCUGCAAAAUCGUAAGAUGAAGUAUAGGGGCUGACGCCUGCCCGGUGCUGGAAGGUUAAGAGGAUGGGUUAGCUUCGGCGAAGCUCAGAAUUGAAGCCCCAGUAAACGGCGGCCGUAACUAUAACGGUCCUAAGGUAGCGAAAUUCCUUGUCGGGUAAGUUCCGACCCGCACGAAAGGCGUAACGAUUUGGGCACUGUCUCAACGAGAGACU
Molecule: ribosomal RNA, 2007 nt
Filed under: Enterococcus faecium
Lineage: Bacteria; Bacillati; Bacillota; Bacilli; Lactobacillales; Enterococcaceae
Description: bacterial LSU rRNA
Rfam family: Bacterial large subunit ribosomal RNA
Source: RNAcentral